GACGAACGCUGGCGGCGUGCUUAACACAUGCAAGUCGAACGGAAAGGCCCUGCUUUUGUGGGGUGCUCGAGUGGCGAACGGGUGAGUAACACGUGAGUAACCUGCCCUUGACUUUGGGAUAACUUCAGGAAACUGGGGCUAAUACCGGAUAGGAGCUCCUGCUGCAUGGUGGGGGUUGGAAAGUUUCGGCGGUUGGGGAUGGACUCGCGGCUUAUCAGCUUGUCGGUGGGGUAGUGGCUUACCAAGGCUUUGACGGGUAGCCGGCCUGAGAGGGUGACCGGCAACAUUGGGACUGAGAUACGGCCCAGACUCCUACGGGAGGCAGCAGUGGGGAAUAUUGCACAAUGGGCGGAAGCCUGAUGCAGCAACGCCGCGUGCGGGAUGACGGCCUUCGGGUUGUAAACCGCUUUCGCCUGUGACGAAGCGUGAGUGACGGUAAUGGGUAAAGAAGCACCGGCUAACUACGUG
This 468-nucleotide ribosomal RNA is filed under the name uncultured bacterium. Its description in RNAcentral is "partial 16S ribosomal RNA". It matches the Rfam family "Bacterial small subunit ribosomal RNA", at positions 28 to 507 of the family's 1533-position model. The record is from RNAcentral.